This 29-nucleotide small nuclear RNA is filed under the name Arabidopsis thaliana (thale cress). RNAcentral describes it as "snRNA_05908". Lineage: Eukaryota; Viridiplantae; Streptophyta; Magnoliopsida; Brassicales; Brassicaceae. The record is from RNAcentral.
AGCUCAUAUUCUAUGGGUGUAUAUGAGUC